This is a small nuclear RNA of Pollicipes pollicipes, 198 nucleotides long. RefSeq annotates it as U2 spliceosomal RNA. The record is from RefSeq and is a predicted model, not a curated record. Lineage: Eukaryota; Metazoa; Arthropoda; Thecostraca; Pollicipedomorpha; Pollicipedidae. The transcript has a single exon.
UUUGCUUCUCUUGUUAUCAAACAUGUACUUUUCUGAACAAAAAAUAUCUUCUUAUCAGCUUAAUAUCUGAUACGUCCCCUACAUGGGGACCAGAAUAUAAAACUGAUUUCUGAACACUGGCGGGACUACUGGACCUUGCUCCUGCCCUGCCGCGGGUUGGCCUAGCAUAGCACUACAGCCAGGAUCGGCCUAUUUUUU